CAUAGUUGUAAAUGUGUGUGUGAUGUUUUUCUACAUCAGAAACGGAUUUCACAACAACUCCAUCUUAGAUCCUAGCAGACAUGAAGAAGCUCUGUGCUUUCACUAUUUCAUUUUUGUCUCUGAAGUUUUCUCUCAUCUUGUGCUGUUUGACUGAAGCAAGUUGCUUUUGGAGGAUAAAGAAUAGUGAAGAUAGUGAUGGAGAUUUGCAAAGAGAAUGUCAUUUUUACCUUUGGGUAAUUGAUAAACCUAUUGAAGAUAAUUUUUAUAAUUCAGUUUUAAAUUUUAGAAUAUCAGCAAGUGAAUAUGAGUUUCUUCUGGUAAUGUUUUUUGCUACUGAUGAGAUCAACAAGAAUCCUUAUCUUUUACCCAACAUAACUUUGAUAUUCAGCAUCGUUGGUGGUCACUGUCAUGAUUUAUUGAGAGGUCUGGAUCAAUCAUAUACACAAAUAAAUGGACGUGUGAAUUUUGUUAAUUAUUUCUGUUAUUUAGAUGAUUCAUGUAACAUAGGCCUUACAGGACCAUCAUGGAAAAAAUCCUUAAAACUGGCAAUGGAUUCUUCAAUACCAAUGGUUUUCUUUGGACCAUUUAAUCCUAACCUACGCGACCAUGACCGGCUGCCCCAUGUCCAUCAGGUAGCCCCCAAGGACACACAUUUAUCCCAUGGCAUGGUCUCCUUGAUGUUUCAUUUUAGAUGGACUUGGAUAGGACUGGUCAUCUCAGAUGAUGACCAGGGUAUUCAGUUUCUCUCAGAUUUAAGAGAAGAAAGCCAAAGGCAUGGGAUCUGUUUAGCUUUUGUUAAUAUGAUCCCAGAAAACAUGCAGAUAUACAUGACAAGGGCUACAAUAUAUGAUAAACAAAUUAUGACAUCUUCAGCAAAGGUUGUUAUCAUUUAUGGUGAAAUGAACUCUACUCUAGAAGUAAGCUUCAGAAGAUGGGAAGAUUUAGGUGCUCGGAGAAUCUGGAUCACAACCUCACAAUGGGAUAUCAUAUUAAAUAAAAAAGAAUUCACUCUUAAUCUCUUCCAUGGCCCUAUCACUUUUGCACACCACAAAGUUGAGAUUCCUAAAUUAAGGAAUUUUAUGCAAACAAUGAACACUGCCAAAUACCCAGUAGAUAUUUCUCAUACUAUACUGGAGUGGAAUUAUUUUAAUUGUUCAAUCUCUAAGAACAGCAGUAAAAUGGAUCUUUUUACAUCCAACAACACAUUGGAAUGGACAGCACUGCACAACUAUGAUAUGGCCAUGAGUGAUGAAGGUUACAAUUUGUAUAAUGCUGUUUAUGUUGCGGCCCACACCUACCAUGAACACAUUCUUCAACAAGUAGAGUCUCAGAAAAAGGUAGAACACAACAGAUAUUUCACUGUUUGUCAGCAGGUAUCUUCCUUGAUGAAAACCAGGGUAUUUACGAACCCGGUUGGAGAACUGGUGAACAUGAAGCAUAGGGAAAAUCAGUGUACAGAGUAUGAUAUUUUCAUCAUUUGGAAUUUUCCACAAGGCCUUGGAUUAAAAUUGAAAAUAGGAAGCUAUAUACCUUGUUUUCCAAAGAGUCAACAACUUCAUAUAUCUGAUGAUUUGGAAUGGGCCAUGGGAGGAACAUCAAUAUAGAACAGUGUGUGAAAUGUCCAGAUGAUAAGUAUGCCAACAUAGAACAAACCUACUGCCUCUCAAGAGCUGUAUCAUUUCUGGCUUUUGAAGAACCACUGGGGAUGGCUCUAGGCUGCAUGGCACUAUCCUUCUCGGCCAUCACAAUUCUAGUACUAGUCACAUUUGUGAAGUACAAGAAUACUCCCAUUGUGAAGGCCAAUAACCGCAUUCUCAGCUACAUCCUGCUCAUCUCUCUAGUCUUCUGUUUUCUCUGCUCCCUGCUCUUCAUUGGACAUCCUGACCAGGUCACCUGCAUCUUGCAGCAGACCACAUUUGGAGUAUUUUUCACUGUGUCUGUUUCUACAGUGUUGGCCAAAACAAUAACUGUGGUCAUGGCUUUCAAGUUCACUACUCCAGGAAGAAGGAUGAGAGGGAUGUUGGUAACAGGUGCACCUAAGUUGGUCAUUCCCAUUUGUACCCUAAUCCAACUUGUUCUCUGUGGAAUCUGGUUGGUAACAUCUCCUCCAUUUAUUGACAGAGAUAUACAAUCUGAACAUGGGAAGGUAGUCAUUCUUUGCAAUAAAGGCUCUGUCAUUGCCUUCCACAUUGUCCUGGGAUACUUGGGCUCCUUGGCUCUGGGGAGCUUCACUUUGGCUUUCUUGGCUAGGAACCUUCCUGACACAUUCAAUGAAGCCAAAUUCCUAACUUUCAGCAUGCUGGUGUUCUGCAGUGUCUGGAUCACCUUCCUCCCUGUCUACCACAGCACCAGGGGGAAGGUCAUGGUGGUUGUGGAGGUUUUCUCAAUCUUGGCUUCUAGUGCAGGGUUGCUAAUGUGUAUCUUUGUCCCAAAGUGUUAUGUUAUUUUAGUUAGACCAGAUUCAAAUUUUACAAAGAACCGCAAAGGUAAAUUGCUUUAUUGAAAUUUUCAUGGUAUGAAAAUGUUAGAUUAUAUUCAACUUAUCUUAUUCUUCAUCUUAACAAAAGUAGUACUUCAUCAUAUAAAAAAUUAAGUAAUAUACAGAUUUAUACUUACAAACUGGACAGCAAACAUGAAUAUGUUUAGAACUGGGAAUCUCAAUUGAGGAAUGGGUAUCAUCAUUUUGACCUGUGGUUAUGUGUUUAAGCCAUGUGUUUAAUUAAUGAUUAACAUGAGGUUGCCCUACUGUCUGUGAACCAUACCACCUCUAGGCACACUGUCCUUGAGUUAUAAGAUAGGGUACUGCAUACAAAAUGGACAUGAAACCAGUAAUCAACAUUAUCCCUCUUGCUUUCAUGGAGUUCUUGCAUCCAAUUUCAUGCCUUGACUUCAUUCAAUGUACUAUGACAAAGGUACAUAAAUAAAUAAACACUUUCCCCACA
This is an RNA transcript of Mus musculus (house mouse), 2942 nucleotides long. It is a transcript of the gene named vomeronasal 2, receptor 89, with no coding region annotated. Lineage: Eukaryota; Metazoa; Chordata; Mammalia; Rodentia; Muridae. The transcript has 5 exons. The record is from RefSeq and is marked validated.